UAUAUCGUUGAUAUCUUCUACUGGCGCUGGGUUGAUACUAGUUUGGUAGAAAUUGAUCGAAGCUGCGUGAAGAAUCCAGAUUAUCAACAAAUAUCACAUCAGUAUACUUCAGCUGCAGUUGAUGUACGCACGUGUAUGCCCCUAGCCUAAGGGAGCACACAGCACGUGGAGAUUCAGAACAAACACGUGCUUGUGUUUAUUACCUGUUUCGAAAACACAUUCAAAUUUUAAAAGACAAAUCCAAAAUGACGUGGAUACAAUGUCAAGUCUGUGAGGAAGAAACAUCGAAGUAUAAAUGUCCAAAAUGUGCCCUGCAGUAUUGUUCUGUUGGCUGCUACAAAAACCACAAAGG
Molecule: long non-coding RNA, 352 nt
Organism: Mizuhopecten yessoensis (Yesso scallop)
Lineage: Eukaryota; Metazoa; Mollusca; Bivalvia; Pectinida; Pectinidae
Exons: 3
Source: RefSeq, a predicted model, not a curated record